Small nuclear RNA from Pteropus vampyrus (large flying fox), 107 nucleotides. Lineage: Eukaryota; Metazoa; Chordata; Mammalia; Chiroptera; Pteropodidae. The record is from Ensembl.
GCACUCACUUUGGCAGCACACAUACUAAAACUGGAACCAUACAGAGAAGAUUAGCGUGGCCCCUGGGCAAGAAUGACAUGCAAAUUUGUGAGGCAUUCCAAAUUUUU